Molecule: long non-coding RNA, 1378 nt
Filed under: Canis lupus familiaris (dog)
Lineage: Eukaryota; Metazoa; Chordata; Mammalia; Carnivora; Canidae
Description: lncRNA (ENSCAFG00845010431.1)
Source: RNAcentral
UAAACUCUCACUUGGGGAGAUCAUGUGAUCUGGCCUACUUACAUCAAUUGAAAUUUACUUUUUUUAGUGUUGUUGAGUUCUUUUUUUUUUCUUUUUAGCUCAGCCAAAUGUGAAAGUUGUGAAUUUCGGAAAAUAAUUUGUAAUGAAGUGUGAGUCAUGUUAUCAAAUUUAUUUCACGGAUGUUUCCCUCCUUAUCCCUGUGGCAAAUAAAACAUUGGCAUUCUAUUUUUAUAGAUGAAGUAAGAAGUCUUGUGUACUGCGACUUAAUAAUGCUUUUGCCUUCUUAAUAUCGUCAGUUCUUAAGUGUUACAACCCUUUCGGAAUAUAGCUUCAGGAUAGUUUAUGCUUAAUGUAUGUUUUUUCUUCAUACUGGUGGCUUUUGUAUGCUGAUAGAAAACCGGUGUGAGAAGUGGUCUUUGAAGUAAUUCAGUAUAGUUUUGUUUAUUGUAAAUGAGUUUUCUCCUUUAUUCAUCACAUAUUAAAGUACUGAAGUAUUAUAACCAAUUUGCUAAAAUGUGGUGUUAACACAUGAGAUCUUCCAUUAGGAGAGGAAACAUACAAAAUCAAUGACUUGCCAAGAUCCAAGCAAUGACAGUGAUAGUUGUCACCGUUUUGAUAGUUAACAGUCUGUGUAAAUGGUGCAGUCAUAGUAAAGUAGGCCUGAUUUAAGCUGGAGGUAUAAAAUAAGUCCUUUUUAUUUUUUAGGGUCAACUAUAUAAGAUGAACGUUUAUUUACAAUACUAAUGUAUGAUUUUGGGUAGAUUUCUGAUAUUUUUUUGACUUCCUAUAACAAUCCAUUUGCUAUGUGGGCAAACAAAAACAUUCUGAAUUCCAGUUUUUGAAAUCCCUUUUAUAAAUGUGCAGAUACUAUGGAGUUCUCAUCACUAGUAUAAGCAUGUAAAGAGAACACCAGUUAAAACCCAGUAAUUACAGAAGCAAAAAGUCGGUAUUUCAUAAUGAGGCAAGUAAGCUUUAAUAUCCUCGUUAGUGUUUCCCAAAAGAAAAAUGAAUUCUCAUAAAAAUAUAGCUAUAAGAGCGAUUAGUCAAGAGGCACCAUAGCAUAUCGUUAAAAGCCAGACAGAUCCUGCUGGAGCCUAGACUCCACCACUGGAACUGUGUGACCUUGGGCAAAAUACUUAACCUCUGUUUGUCUCCAGUGCUCUCGUGCAAAGGGUUUAACGAUCACACCUGCUCCAUAGAAAUGUGAUACGCGUAAUACGGGGAAUAGAGUAAAUACAUGUAGUUGAUACACGCAAGCACAUAGUGCCUGGUACACAGUAAGAUCUCAGUGAUUCCUAGCUGUUGUAAUUACAGAAAACUAUGCAAACCUGAAGCAUUUGGACAUGUGUAAAAUGUGCUACAGAAUAAAUAUUCAACA